UACGUAGGGUGCAAGCGUUGUCCGGAAUUAUUGGGCGUAAAGAGCUCGUAGGCGGUCUGUCGCGUCUGCUGUGAAAACUCAGGGCUUAACCCUGAGCUUGCAGUGGGUACGGGCAGACUAGAGUGCGGUAGGGGAGACUGGAAUUCCUGGUGUAGCGGUGAAAUGCGCAGAUAUCAGGAGGAACACCGGUGGCGAAGGCGGGUCUCUGGGCCGAUACUGACG
Molecule: ribosomal RNA, 222 nt
Filed under: uncultured bacterium
Lineage: Bacteria
Description: partial 16S ribosomal RNA
Rfam family: Bacterial small subunit ribosomal RNA
Source: RNAcentral